This 145-nucleotide ribosomal RNA is filed under the name uncultured Leptolinea sp. Its description in RNAcentral is "partial 16S ribosomal RNA". It matches the Rfam family "Bacterial small subunit ribosomal RNA", at positions 1239 to 1382 of the family's 1533-position model. The record is from RNAcentral. Lineage: Bacteria; Bacillati; Chloroflexota; Anaerolineae; Anaerolineales; Anaerolineaceae.
ACAAUAGGUUGCUAAGCCGCGAGGUGGAGCCAAUCCUCAAAGUUAGGUCUCAGUUCAGAUUGCAGGCUGCCAACCGCCUGCAUGAAGAUGGAGUUGCUAGUAACCGCAGGUCAGCUAUACUGCGGUGAAUACGUUCCCGGGGCUU